GAAAAGACCAGCUAUCAAGUCUAUUAUACAUCAGAGAUCACCUGCUAUUGUAGCAAUACUGCCCUCACCUAAAGAAGAAGCUCACUGGUUGUUCAAGACACGCAACUUACUGGGUAAAAUGGAUAAUGAGAAAGACAAAGAUAACAGUGAAGACGAUGAUGAUCCAAAUAAAACAAUCUUUGUCAUUGACAAAAGAAAUUUU
This is a long non-coding RNA of Ruditapes philippinarum (Manila clam), 202 nucleotides long. RefSeq lists it as uncharacterized. The record is from RefSeq and is a predicted model, not a curated record. Lineage: Eukaryota; Metazoa; Mollusca; Bivalvia; Venerida; Veneridae. The transcript is spliced from 3 exons.